GUGCUCACUUCAGCAGUACAUAUACUAAAAAUGGAGUGAUACAGAGAAGAUUAACAUGGCCCCUGUGCAAAGAUGAUACAAAAACUCAUGAAGUGUUCCAUAUUUUU
Sciurus carolinensis (gray squirrel) is the source of this 107-nucleotide small nuclear RNA. The record is from RefSeq and is a predicted model, not a curated record. NCBI's taxonomy places the organism in Eukaryota, Metazoa, Chordata, Mammalia, Rodentia, Sciuridae.